UAUUCUAAGUGAUUAAACAAAAUUUUCAUUACACUAGGUGCUCAGCAGCACAUGAUGAACCUUUUACCAAACCUUGUAGAAAUUUUGCUAAGAGGAUUUUUAAAAUUCUAUGUAUAGCAAAAUACAGUGCUUUUUUUUCACUAAUAACCACCUUCAGUGUUAAGAAUAUGUCUGAUUUCUGAUUUUUGGUUUGCACUUUUCGCUUUGAAUUCCGUAACUGAAUUUAAUCUGCUUUUUUUCUCUCCAAUGUUGUCACAAGGUCACUAUUACAUGAAGCUGAGUGGCAUGCUUCAGAAAAAGAAGUGUAAAGCAAUUCUACUGGUGCCUGCUUCUUGAGCAUAUUAAUGUGUCCUCAGCCUGUCCCCAGCUUGAGGUGUUUGGAGCAGAAGAAAUGGAGUAGAAUUUGCUCACAGACAUUGAAUUUACUGCUUCCUCUUUAUGCAAGAGACUCCUGUGUUUUCCAGAAGUGCUGUUUUCCAUGUUGUUUGCUUGAGACCAAUACUGUGGCUUACCAGCAAAGGAAGGGUUGUUUCCAGAUCAUUUUGGUUAGAAACCAAGCACCUUCAGAGAAAUGUAACUGUCUCUCACUAUCACAGAAUCACCAAGGCUGGAAAAGACCUUCAAGAUCAUCCAGUUCAACCAUCCACCUAUCACUAAUAGUUCUCACUAAACCGUGUCCCUCAACACAAAAUCCAAACGUUCCUUGA
This 707-nucleotide long non-coding RNA is filed under the name Phasianus colchicus (ring-necked pheasant). RNAcentral describes it as "lncRNA (ENSPCLG00000012595.1)". Lineage: Eukaryota; Metazoa; Chordata; Aves; Galliformes; Phasianidae. The record is from RNAcentral.